RNAcentral lists this transfer RNA (92 nucleotides) under Secundilactobacillus malefermentans. Its description in RNAcentral is "Lactobacillus malefermentans tRNA-Ser". It matches the Rfam family "tRNA". From Rfam's summary of the family: Transfer RNA (tRNA) molecules are approximately 80 nucleotides in length. Their secondary structure includes four short double-helical elements and three loops (D, anti-codon, and T loops). The record is from RNAcentral. Lineage: Bacteria; Bacillati; Bacillota; Bacilli; Lactobacillales; Lactobacillaceae.
GGAGAGUUGUCCGAGCUGGCCGAAGGAGCACCAUUGGAAAUGGUGUAAACGGGCAAAAACCUGUUUCGAGGGUUCGAAUCCCUCACUCUCCG